RNA transcript from Syngnathus acus (greater pipefish), 1602 nucleotides. It is a transcript of the gene named BOLA class I histocompatibility antigen, alpha chain BL3-6-like, with no coding region annotated. Lineage: Eukaryota; Metazoa; Chordata; Actinopteri; Syngnathiformes; Syngnathidae. The transcript is spliced from 9 exons. The record is from RefSeq and is a predicted model, not a curated record.
GUAAUCGAAGCGCGUCCUGCGCUUCGCUGUUGUUCCGCGUUCGCCUCUUGGACGACGAGUCGCAACUUUGACCGAAUAGCCUGCUUGACUAAAAUCGAAAAACACAUUGAUGGUUAGAAUGAAUUUACUUGCAUUCUUUGUUUUGGCUGUGCAAAUAUACAGCGUGACGCCUGUCAUUCACACGCUCAAUUAUUUCGUGACGGCCUCUCAAGUUGCAAAGCUACCAGAGUACUGGGAGGCCGCGUAUGUUGACGGCGUUCAGAUUCUGCACUUUGACAGCAACCACAGGAAAGCAAAAGCGAAACAAGACUGGGUGGACAAAAUCACAGAAGAUGAGCCGCACUACUGGGAGAGAGAGACGGCGGGCAGUAUUCGUGAGGAGCAGGUCUUCAAAGUCAACAUUGAAAUCGCUAAAAAGCGCUUCAACCAAACUGGAGGCGUUCACAUGCUUCAGAGGAUGUACGGCUGUGAAUGGAAUGAUGAGACUGGGGAGGUUGAUGGUUGGCUGCACGACCGUUACGAUGGAGAAGACUUCAUAUCAUUUGAGCUGAAGACGAUGAGCUGGAUCGCAGCACAUCCGCAAGCUUUCAUCACCAAACUCCAGUGGGACCAAAUAGACGGGUUCAAUCAAGUCGUGAAGAGUGACCUAACUGAGGUCUGUUCUUUAUGGUUGAAGAAGCACGUGAGCAACGGGAGGGAGUUCCUGACCAGAACCGAGCUUCCCACGGUGUCUCUCCUGCAGAAGACGCCUUCCUCUCCAAUCACCUGCCACGCCACGGGUUUCUACCCCAGGACGUCGGACCUCUUUUGGAGGAAGGACGGCGAGCAGAUCCACGAGGACGUGGAGAUGGGGGAGACCCUCCCCAACCACGACGGAACCUUCCAGACCACGGCCGACCUUAAAGUGGAGCUGACGCCCGCCGUGGAGGGCCGCUACAAAUGCGUGUUCAAACUGGAUGGCGUUCGGGAAGAGAUGGUCACCAAGCUGUACGCCAAAAGCAUCCUGAGCAACGUGCGCAUCCAGGAAGAGGAAGACAGGAAGAAGGCGGUGGCCAUCGCUGUCCCGCUGGUGGUCCUGGCUCUGGUGGCGAUGGCGGUGGCGCUGGGGGUGUUCCUGGCCAAGCGUCCCAAAAGCCAACAAGCCAAUUACGCUCCAGCUUCCAGCGCCUCAUGUUCUGAGCAGGAUUGAAUGAACCCCACUAAGGUUGAAGGGGAUGUCUUCUUUUCUUGGGUGCCACGCUUGAUUGAAUCAUCACAUUCCAACUGUAUGAAAUACUUGGAAAUGUUUCUUAUUUCAAAUUGAAGUGCAACAGUUUUACAAGUGCAGUGAAUUCUAAUUGUAUUUACUUCACUAGUUCUUCCAAAUACCGCUAGAGGGAGCCAACAUACCACAAGUGAUAUCCUGCAUCACACGUUGCUUUUUUUUAAGUGCUUUUUGUUAAGCGAACUACUGAUCAAUUUGAUAUAAGUUUGAGUAUCAUUAUAAAAAUGUUUGAAAUGAGGUUUCUGGUCACUGUAUUUUCACUUGUGGAUAUAUAAUUUAGCAAGGAUAAGCAAAAAAUUUAUGAUAAAGAUCACGUCUUUUUUCUGUUGUCUUCUAAA